GAAAUAGAAGCUAAAUAGAGCAUUUGAUUGUUAAUCAAAAAUAGCACAAGUUAAAUUGUGCCUUUUUCG
RNAcentral lists this transfer RNA (69 nucleotides) under Tyrannodoris europaea. Its description in RNAcentral is "Roboastra europaea tRNA-Asn". It matches the Rfam family "tRNA". Rfam says of the family: Transfer RNA (tRNA) molecules are approximately 80 nucleotides in length. Their secondary structure includes four short double-helical elements and three loops (D, anti-codon, and T loops). Further hydrogen bonds mediate the characteristic L-shaped molecular structure. tRNAs have two regions of fundamental functional importance: the anti-codon, which is responsible for specific mRNA codon recognition, and the 3' end, to which the tRNAs corresponding amino acid is attached (by aminoacyl-tRNA synthetases). tRNAs cope with the degeneracy of the genetic code in two manners: having more than one tRNA (with a specific anti-codon) for a particular amino acid; and 'wobble' base-pairing, i.e. permitting non-standard base-pairing at the 3rd anti-codon position. Lineage: Eukaryota; Metazoa; Mollusca; Gastropoda; Nudibranchia; Polyceridae. The record is from RNAcentral.